This 484-nucleotide ribosomal RNA is filed under the name uncultured bacterium. RNAcentral's name for it is "partial 16S ribosomal RNA". It matches the Rfam family "Bacterial small subunit ribosomal RNA", at positions 30 to 507 of the family's 1533-position model. The record is from RNAcentral.
AUUGAACGCUGGCGGCAGGCCUAACACAUGCAAGUCGAGCGGAUGAAGGGAGCUUGCUCCUGGAUUCAGCGGCGGACGGGUGAGUAAUGCCUAGGAAUCUGCCUGGUAGUGGGGGAUAACGUCCGGAAACGGGCGCUAAUACCGCAUACGUCCUGAGGGAGAAAGUGGGGGAUCUUCGGACCUCACGCUAUCAGAUGAGCCUAGGUCGGAUUAGCUAGUUGGUGGGGUAAAGGCCUACCAAGGCGACGAUCCGUAACUGGUCUGAGAGGAUGAUCAGUCACAUUGGAACUGAGACACGGUCCAGAGUCCUACGGGAGGGAGCAGUGGGGUAUGUUAGGCAAUGGGCGAAAGUCUGGUCCAGUGAGGCCGAGUGUGUUAAGAAGAUCUUGGGAGUGGGAAGCACGUUAAGUUGUUAGGAAGCGCUUUAAGUUAAUACGUUGCUGGAUUGACGUUACCGACAGAAGAAGCACCGGCUAACUUCGUG